AUAACUGUGAAUGGUAUCACGCAAGGACCUUUCACUCUUGAAUACUUAAAACCAUUCCAUAAGUUUCCAGACAUUACGGACAGUUGAAGGGAACAUUACUUCUACUAUUUCUACAACAAUGGAGUCUGGCCUUCCUCCAAUCCUCAAUGCGCUUGAGUAUUACCUACUUGAACAAUUCACCGAUUCUGCUACAGACCCAUCAGAUGGUACCAUUCUAUUUGAUAAUGGUACACCACAUUUGAUUCUGUGCAAGAACCUGAGUUCAAGUAAAUUAACAGGGGAGAUAUGUCCAUCGCUGGCUCAUCUCCUGGAGCUAGAGUCUAUGUAUGUAUUUUACUGAACUUAUAGUGUCCAAGAUAAUUCAGAAACGCACCCAACCCAUAGCUGCAUGAUAUCUGGUCUAGCAUCUCCUUUUAAAUCCUUCACUCAACACUUCUCUUCCAUGUUUGCAGAUUCUAGUUUUAGGAAGGUCAUGAAGUUUGCAUUCCACAUUUGACAUAUUUCACCCUUUUUCCUGCACUGAUUUAUCAUACAAUGAUUUGACUGGAUCUGUGCCAGAUGUUUUAGCAACUUUGCCAAAAUUGAAAUCCCUAAAUAUAUCGGGAAACAAGCUCAAGGGUCCAAUUCCCCAAUCUCUCAAGGAUAAAUCUGAUCAUGGGUCACUGCUUCUAAGUUUAGAUGAAAACCAAACAUCAUGUCAGAGGGAUCCUUGUGAAGGAAAUCGCAAGAAGUUUAUUGUUCCAGUUGUCGUAUCCAUUAUAGCUGCUGUGGCCCUUGUUAUCUUCUUAAGCGUUCUAUUCAUCUUUCAUAGGAAAAGAAAGAGAAAACAAACUUGUAUUUUCACUCUUUCAUGUCCAUAUAUUAAUUUUCUUUUCCUUCUUUUGGCUGGUUGCACUUUUCUGUAUAAUGUGUUCAGUUUGUUUGAGCUUUAAGUAAAUAUCUUAUUCAUCCAGAAACAAAGAAAGAAAUGAAAAUAAAAAGAUGAAUGCUGUUGCUAA
Gossypium arboreum is the source of this 998-nucleotide long non-coding RNA. RefSeq lists it as uncharacterized. NCBI's taxonomy places the organism in Eukaryota, Viridiplantae, Streptophyta, Magnoliopsida, Malvales, Malvaceae. The record is from RefSeq and is a predicted model, not a curated record. The transcript has 3 exons.